GACGAACGCUGGCGGCGUGCUUAACACAUGCAAGUCGAACGGAAAGGCCCUGCUUGCAGGGUACUCGAGUGGCGAACGGGUGAGUAACACGUGGGUGAUCUGCCUUGCACUUCGGGAUAAGCCUGGGAAACUGGGUCUAAUACCGGAUAGGAGCCAUUUUUAGUGUGAUGGUUGGAAAGUUUUUUCGGUGUAGGAUGAGCUCGCGGCCUAUCAGCUUGUUGGUGGGGUAAUGGCCUACCAAGGCGGCGACGGGUAGCCGGCCUGAGAGGGUGGACGGCCACAUUGGGACUGAGAUACGGCCCAGACUCCUACGGGAGGCAGCAGUGGGGAAUAUUGCACAAUGGGCGCAAGCCUGAUGCAGCGACGCCGCGUGGGGGAUGACGGCCUUCGGGUUGUAAACUCCUUUCGCUAGGGACGAAGCUUUUUGUGACGGUACCUAGAUAAGAAGCACCGGCUAACUACGUG
RNAcentral lists this ribosomal RNA (465 nucleotides) under uncultured bacterium. Its description in RNAcentral is "partial 16S ribosomal RNA". It matches the Rfam family "Bacterial small subunit ribosomal RNA", at positions 28 to 507 of the family's 1533-position model. The record is from RNAcentral.